This 243-nucleotide long non-coding RNA is filed under the name Carica papaya (papaya). Its description in RNAcentral is "long non-coding RNA (CPAP_LNC004255)". The record is from RNAcentral. Lineage: Eukaryota; Viridiplantae; Streptophyta; Magnoliopsida; Brassicales; Caricaceae.
CAUUAUCAACCAAUUCCUAAUUACAUAUUAAUAUCCCAUAUUUAUCAACUAACAAUAAGUUGUGCAAAGAGACGGUAUGUAAGUCAAGACAACAUAAUUGAGACACUUAUUGCAAAUGAACCAACAAUUGGGGAUAUGCAGUUAAAUAAACUAAAUAACUGAGAAAGUAGUGGAAACUAGCAAUUUAACGUACACAAUAUAAUAAUAAAUAUUUUAUGUAGUAUAAGAGAAAAUAGACAGUAA